Molecule: ribosomal RNA, 474 nt
Filed under: uncultured bacterium
Lineage: Bacteria
Description: partial 16S ribosomal RNA
Rfam family: Bacterial small subunit ribosomal RNA
Source: RNAcentral
GACGAACGCUGGCGGCGUGCUUAACACAUGCAAGUCGAGCGGUAAGGCUCCUUCGGGAGUACACGAGCGGCGCACGGGUGCGUAACACGUGAGUAAUCUGCCCUUCACUUCGGGAUAACCACCGGAAACGGUGGCUAAUACCGAAUACGACCAGUCUUCGCAUGAGGUGCUGGUGGAAAGUCUUUUCGGUGAAGGAUGUGCUCGCGGCCUAUCAGCUUGUUGGUGGGGUAAUGGCCUACCAAGGCUUCGACGGGUAGCCGGCCUGAGAGGGUGACCGGCCACACUGGGACUGAGACACGGCCCAGACUCCUACGGGAGGCAGCAGUGGGGAAGAUUGGACAAUGGGCGAAAGCCUGAUCCAGCAACGCCGCGUGAGGGAUGACGGCCUUCGGGUUGUAAACCUCGUUCAGUACCGACGAAGCGCCCUGUCGGGUGGUGACGGUAGGUACAGAAGAAGGACCGGCCAACUACGUG